CGGGGAGUGGUGGAACGGUACCACGGGAGGCUCAUAACCUCCAAAAGCCGGUUCAAUUCCGGCCUCCCCAA
Molecule: transfer RNA, 71 nt
Filed under: bacterium
Lineage: Bacteria
Also listed under: 1 other name
Description: tRNA-Met
Rfam family: tRNA
About the family: Transfer RNA (tRNA) molecules are approximately 80 nucleotides in length. Their secondary structure includes four short double-helical elements and three loops (D, anti-codon, and T loops).
Source: RNAcentral